AAUCCAAGAAUUUCACCUCCAACAAUGAAAUACGAAUGCCCCCAACUGUCCCUCUUAAUCAUUACUCCCUUCCCGAAGACCAACACAAUAGGAAGUGAGUCCUAUCGCGUUAUUCCAUGCUAAUGUAUUCAAUGCGUAGGCCUGCUUUGAACACUCUAAUUUUUUCAAAGUAACAUCGCCGACUCCGCGUCCCGCGCCAGUUAAGGCCAGAAGCGCGUCCCCGACAGAAAAGUAGGAAGUCAUAGUGCGCACCGAAACGGCGGACCAUUCAUUCCCACCUGAAAUCCAACUACGAGCUUUUUAACUGCAACAACUUAAAUAUACGCUAUUGGAGCUGGAAUUACCGCU
This 348-nucleotide unclassified non-coding RNA is filed under the name uncultured fungus. Its description in RNAcentral is "sequence contains ITS1". The record is from RNAcentral. Lineage: Eukaryota; Fungi.